UAUCUCUGUAGAGUCUGCAUAUCAAUAAGCGGAGGAAAAGAAACUAACUAGGAUUCCCUUAGUAACGGCGAGUGAAGCGGGAAGAGCUCAAAUUUGAAAUCUUCAAGGUUCUACCUUGACGAAUUGUAGUUUAAAGAAGUGUUUUCUGUUGGAGUUUUGGUAAAAGUUCUUUGGAAUAGGACAUCAUAGAGGGUGAGAAUCCCGUAUUUGACCAUUAUUUCCAGCUUUGUGAUACACUUUCAAAGAGUCGGAUUGUUUGGGAAUGCAGUCCAAAAUGGGUGGUAAAUUUCAUCUAAAGCUAAAUAUUGGCGAGAGACCGAUAGCGAACAAGUACCGUGAGGGAAAGAUGAAAAGAACUUUGAAAAGAGAGUUAAACAGUACGUGAAAUUGUCAAAAGGGAAGCGUUUGACACCAGUAUUGUUUUCUCGAAAAUCAAUUAAAAUGGCGGGAUUUUGUGUUGUAUUGACUUUAUCAGCUUUCUGCACUUUUUUCCUGUCUUUUUUAAUGCACUUUUCGUUUAACAAGUCAACAUCAAUUUCUUUUGUUGUAAAAGGGUCAUUGGAAGGUGGCUUUCUUUUCGGAGAAAGUGUUUAUAGCCUUUGACUUCUGCAGUCGGAGAGAUUGAGGUCUGCAGCGUAGAUCCUUCGGGGUUAGAUACAUUUGUGCUAAGCUAUAGCCUUUCAUAGACAACUUGUUGACUAUGAUCAGUCAUGUAGCUUACUCGCUUAUGCUAUUUUACCUACGCUUAGGAUGUUGAUCUCUCACAGUCGAGC
RNAcentral lists this ribosomal RNA (773 nucleotides) under uncultured Neocallimastigales. Its description in RNAcentral is "partial large subunit ribosomal RNA". It matches the Rfam family "Eukaryotic large subunit ribosomal RNA", at positions 24 to 645 of the family's 3401-position model. The record is from RNAcentral. Lineage: Eukaryota; Fungi; Neocallimastigomycota; Neocallimastigomycetes; Neocallimastigales.